RNAcentral lists this ribosomal RNA (489 nucleotides) under Trueperella bernardiae. RNAcentral describes it as "bacterial SSU rRNA". It matches the Rfam family "Bacterial small subunit ribosomal RNA", at positions 44 to 535 of the family's 1533-position model. Lineage: Bacteria; Bacillati; Actinomycetota; Actinomycetes; Actinomycetales; Actinomycetaceae. The record is from RNAcentral.
GUGCUUAACACAUGCAAGUCGAACGAUGAAGCUACAGCUUGCUGUGGUGGAUUAGUGGCGAACGGGUGAGUAAUACGUGAGUAACCUGCCCUUGUCUUUGGGAUAAGCCUGGGAAACUGGGUCUAAUACCGGAUAUUCUGCUUUCAUCGCAUGGUGGGGGUUGGAAAGGGUUUCUGGAUAGGGAUGGGCUCACGGCCUAUCAGCUUGUUGGUGGGGUGAUGGCCUACCAAGGCGUCGACGGGUAGCCGGCCUGAGAGGGUGACCGGCCACAUUGGGACUGAGAUACGGCCCAGACUCCUACGGGAGGCAGCAGUGGGGAAUAUUGCACAAUGGACGCAAGUCUGAUGCAGCGACGCCCGCGUGGGGGAUGAAGGCUUUCGGGUUGUAAACUCCUUUCAGUCAGAACAAGGCCUUUUUGGUUGAGGGUAUGUGCAGAAGAAGCGCCCGGCUAACUACGUGCCAGCAGCCGCGGUAAUACGUAGGGCGCCG